Molecule: ribosomal RNA, 305 nt
Filed under: uncultured bacterium
Lineage: Bacteria
Description: bacterial SSU rRNA
Rfam family: Bacterial small subunit ribosomal RNA
Source: RNAcentral
GCCUACGGGAGGCAGCAGUGGGGAAUAUUGCACAAUGGGGGAAACCCUGAUGCAGCGACGCCGCGUGAAGGAUGAAGUAUUUCGGUAUGUAAACUUCUAUCAGCAGGGAAGAAAAUGACGGUACCUGAGUAAGAAGCACCGGCUAAAUACGUGCCAGCAGCCGCGGUAAUACGUAUGGUGCAAGCGUUAUCCGGAUUUACUGGGUGUAAAGGGAGCGCAGGCGGCACGGCAAGCCUGAUGUGAAAGCCCGCGGCCCAACCGCGGGACUGCAUUGGGAACUACCGGGCUGGAGUGCCGGAGAGGUG